CGGAGGGUGCAAGCGUUAUCCGGAUUUACUGGGUUUAAAGGGUGCGUAGGUGGGUAGGAAAGUCAGUGGUGAAAUCUUCGGGCUUAACCCGGAAACUGCCAUUGAUACUAUUUAUCUUGAAUACUUUGGAGGUAAGCGGAAUAUGUCAUGUAGCGGUGAAAUGCUUAGAUAUGACAUAGAAUACCAAUUGCGAAGGCAGCUUACUACACAGUUAUUGACACUGAGGCACGAAAGCGUGGGGAUCAAACAGGAUUAGAUACCCUGGUAGUCCACGCCCUAAACGAUGGAUACUCGACAUCAGCGAUACACUGUUGGUGUCUGAGCGAAAGCAUUAAGUAUCCCACCUGGGAAGUACGAUCGCAAGAUUG
RNAcentral lists this ribosomal RNA (368 nucleotides) under uncultured organism. Its description in RNAcentral is "bacterial SSU rRNA". It matches the Rfam family "Bacterial small subunit ribosomal RNA", at positions 526 to 896 of the family's 1533-position model. The record is from RNAcentral.